This 468-nucleotide ribosomal RNA is filed under the name uncultured bacterium. RNAcentral describes it as "partial 16S ribosomal RNA". It matches the Rfam family "Bacterial small subunit ribosomal RNA", at positions 28 to 507 of the family's 1533-position model. The record is from RNAcentral.
GACGAACGCUGGCGGCGUGCUUAACACAUGCAAGUCGAACGGAAAGGCCCUGCUUUUGUGGGAUGCUCGAGUGGCGAAAGGGUGAGUAACACGUGAGUAACCUGCCCUUGACUUUGGGGUAACUUCAGGAAACUGGGGCUAAUACCGGAUAGGAGCUCCUGCUGCAUGGUGGGGGUUGGAAAGUUUCGGCGGUUGGGGAUGGACUCGCGGCUUAUCAGCUUGUUGGUGGGGUAGUGGCUUACCAAGGCUUUGACGGGUAGCCGGCCUGAGAGGGUGACCGGCCACAUGGGGACUGAGGUACGGACCAGACGCGUACGGGAGGCAGCGGUGGGGAAUAUUGCAGAAUGGGCGGAAGCGUGAUGCAGAAACGCCGGGUGCGGGAUGACGGCCUUCGGGUGGUAAACCGCUUUCGCAUGUGACGAAGGGUGAGUGACGGUAAUGGGUAAAGAAGCACCGGCUAACUACGUG